RNAcentral lists this ribosomal RNA (465 nucleotides) under Vreelandella stevensii. Its description in RNAcentral is "partial 16S ribosomal RNA". It matches the Rfam family "Bacterial small subunit ribosomal RNA", at positions 338 to 795 of the family's 1533-position model. Lineage: Bacteria; Pseudomonadati; Pseudomonadota; Gammaproteobacteria; Oceanospirillales; Halomonadaceae. The record is from RNAcentral.
CCUACGGGAGGCAGCAGUGGGGAAUAUUGGACAAUGGGGGCAACCCUGAUCCAGCCAUGCCGCGUGUGUGAAGAAGGCCCUCGGGUUGUAAAGCACUUUCAGUGAGGAAGAACGCCUGGUGGUUAAUACCCAUCAGGAAAGACAUCACUCACAGAAGAAGCACCGGCUAACUCCGUGCCAGCAGCCGCGGUAAUACGGAGGGUGCGAGCAUUAAUCGGAAUUACUGGGCGUAAAGCGCGCGUAGGUGGCUUGAUAAGCCGGUUGUGAAAGCCCCGGGCUCAACCUGGGAACGGCAUCCGGAACUGUCAAGCUAGAGUGCAGGAGAGGAAGGUAGAAUUCCCGGUGUAGCGGUGAAAUGCGUAGAGAUCGGGAGGAAUACCAGUGGCGAAGGCGGCCUUCUGGACUGACACUGACACUGAGGUGCGAAAGCGUGGGUAGCAAACAGGAUUAGAUACCCGGGUAGUC